Long non-coding RNA from Oncorhynchus tshawytscha (Chinook salmon), 659 nucleotides. The record is from Ensembl. Lineage: Eukaryota; Metazoa; Chordata; Actinopteri; Salmoniformes; Salmonidae.
GGACAGUAGGACAGGAUGACCUUUGGAUGACCAAUCCAUGACCUAGGGUCAUCAGGGCGGCCGGUAAUAUAAUGAGAUAUAAAAACAUUUGGGUUAUAAUCUAGGUACCAUUCUACCGUGAUCAUUCCAUGGUAGUGUCACUCAGAGGCAAACAAACAAGAGAAAGACUCAGUGGUUCCAUGCAUAAUUGGGUGGUACCAUGCAUAGUCGGGUGGUAGGGUGGUACCAUACAUAGUCGGGUGGUAGGGUGGUCCCAUGCAUAGUCGGGUGGUAGGGUGGUUCCAUACAUAGUCGGGUGGUAGGGUGGUCCCAUGCAUAGUCGACUGUUAGGGUGGUCCCAUGCAUAGUCGGGUGUUAGGGUGGUCCCAUGCAUAGUCGGGUGGUAGGGUGGUUCCAUACAUAGUCGGGUGGUAGGGUGGUCCCAUGCAUAGUCAGGUGGUUCCUUCCAGCAACUCCGUAUUGCGGAGAAUUGAGGAGUGUGACGGGCGACUAACUACCACAGUUCCCAUAACGGGUGAGUCAUCAUCAUCGUCUUUCAGACCUUUUUAGCAGAUCUCUCUCUCUCCGUCCUUGUCUCUCUCUCUCUCUCUCUCUCCCCCUCCUUCUCUCUCUCUCUCUCUCUCUCUCCUUGUCUCUCUCUCCUAUUCUCUCUCUCUCUC